This 289-nucleotide ribosomal RNA is filed under the name uncultured Alistipes sp. RNAcentral's name for it is "partial 16S ribosomal RNA". It matches the Rfam family "Bacterial small subunit ribosomal RNA", at positions 58 to 339 of the family's 1533-position model. Lineage: Bacteria; Pseudomonadati; Bacteroidota; Bacteroidia; Bacteroidales; Rikenellaceae. The record is from RNAcentral.
CAAGUCGAGGGGCAGCGGGUGGAGUAUUUCGGUACUCCUGCCGGCGACCGGCGCACGGGUGCGUAACGCGUAUGCAACCUACCUUUAACAGGGGGAUAAUCCGAAGAAAUUUGGUCUAAUACCCCAUAAUAUCAUUUAAGGCAUCUUAGAUGGUUGAAAAUUCCGAUGGUUAGAGAUGGGCAUGCGUUGUAUUAGCUAGUUGGUGAGGUAACGGCUCACCAAGGCUACGAUACAUAGGGGGACUGAGAGGUUUUCCCCCACACUGGUACUGAGACACGGACCAGACUCC